UACCGGUUGUCCGAGUUGCAUUUUUCGCGGUGAAAGUCGUGGUAGCUGAGCGGGUAAGGCAGCUGACUUUGUGUGCUGGCGAAUAGGUGCCUGACUCUGAGGGUGUGAGUUCGAAUCCUGGAUGGGGCUCAACUAAAAAAAA
This is a long non-coding RNA of Haliotis rubra (blacklip abalone), 142 nucleotides long. RefSeq lists it as uncharacterized. NCBI's taxonomy places the organism in Eukaryota, Metazoa, Mollusca, Gastropoda, Lepetellida, Haliotidae. The transcript has 3 exons. The record is from RefSeq and is a predicted model, not a curated record.